AGGGCUAUAGCUCAGUUGGUAGAGCGCCUCGUUUACACCGAGAAAGUCUACGGUUCGAGUCCGUAUAGCCCUA
RNAcentral lists this transfer RNA (73 nucleotides) under Gentiana clusii. Its description in RNAcentral is "tRNA-Val". It matches the Rfam family "tRNA". From Rfam's summary of the family: Transfer RNA (tRNA) molecules are approximately 80 nucleotides in length. Their secondary structure includes four short double-helical elements and three loops (D, anti-codon, and T loops). RNAcentral also lists the same sequence under 8 other names. Lineage: Eukaryota; Viridiplantae; Streptophyta; Magnoliopsida; Gentianales; Gentianaceae. The record is from RNAcentral.